This 274-nucleotide unclassified non-coding RNA is filed under the name Tomentella bryophila. RNAcentral's name for it is "partial internal transcribed spacer region". The stretch from base 1 to 46 matches the Rfam family "Eukaryotic small subunit ribosomal RNA", at positions 1786 to 1831 of the family's 1831-position model. Lineage: Eukaryota; Fungi; Basidiomycota; Agaricomycetes; Thelephorales; Thelephoraceae. The record is from RNAcentral.
AAGUCGUAACAAGGUUUCCGUAGGUGAACCUGCGGAAGGAUCAUUACCGAAUUGUCAACACGAGUUGUUGCUGGUCCUCGAAUGAGGGCAUGUGCACGCUCUGUUUACACAUCCACUCACACCUGUGCACCCUCCAUGGUUCUGCAGCCUGGGGGCUCUGUCCCCCUGCCGUGGUUCUAUGUAUUUACAUACACACUGUAGUAAAGUCCGAUGGAAUGCAUACCGCGUUUAACGCAAUAUAAUACAACUUUCAGCAACGGAUCUCUUGGCUCUC